AUAACUUCUUGGCCUUUUGACUAAGAGCAAGAGGAGUCACUGUUCUUGCUGGUUUAAUUUGGGAUGCGUCCUCUAUCUAAGGUUGCUACAUUACGUGUACUUUUAGAGGAGGAAAAUGGAGUAGCCUGCUAUGUCCACUCCACACAUUGGCUUGGUAUUGCAGCACCCCCGGGAGCAGUGUACACAAC
Molecule: small nuclear RNA, 188 nt
Organism: Acomys russatus (golden spiny mouse)
Lineage: Eukaryota; Metazoa; Chordata; Mammalia; Rodentia; Muridae
Product: U2 spliceosomal RNA
Exons: 1
Source: RefSeq, a predicted model, not a curated record